RNAcentral lists this ribosomal RNA (334 nucleotides) under uncultured bacterium. RNAcentral describes it as "bacterial SSU rRNA". It matches the Rfam family "Bacterial small subunit ribosomal RNA", at positions 568 to 898 of the family's 1533-position model. The record is from RNAcentral.
CUCGUAGGCGGGACUGUUAGUCGCGGAGUAAAUCCAUCUGCUCAACGGGUGGCUCAUCUGCGAUACGGCAGUUCUUGAGGACAGGAGAGGAAAGCGGAAUUCCGAGUGUAGCGGUGAAAUGCGUAGAGAUUCGGAGGAACACCAGUGGCGAAGGCGGCUUUCUGGCCUGAUUCUGACGCUGAGGAGCGAAAGCCAGGGGAGCGAACGGGAUUAGAUACCCCGGUAGUCCUGGUGCUGUAAACGAUGGAUACUAGGUGUAGGAGGUAUUGACCCCUUCUGUGCCGCAGCUAACGCAAUAAGUAUCCCGCCUGGGGAGUACGGCCGCAAGGUUGAA